GUAGACGUUAGCUCAGUGGUUAGAGCACAGGCCUCUGGCUCUCGGGUCCGCUAGUUCGAGUCCCGUCGUCUACU
RNAcentral lists this transfer RNA (74 nucleotides) under Trichomalopsis sarcophagae. RNAcentral describes it as "tRNA-OTHER". It matches the Rfam family "tRNA". From Rfam's summary of the family: Transfer RNA (tRNA) molecules are approximately 80 nucleotides in length. Their secondary structure includes four short double-helical elements and three loops (D, anti-codon, and T loops). Further hydrogen bonds mediate the characteristic L-shaped molecular structure. tRNAs have two regions of fundamental functional importance: the anti-codon, which is responsible for specific mRNA codon recognition, and the 3' end, to which the tRNAs corresponding amino acid is attached (by aminoacyl-tRNA synthetases). tRNAs cope with the degeneracy of the genetic code in two manners: having more than one tRNA (with a specific anti-codon) for a particular amino acid; and 'wobble' base-pairing, i.e. permitting non-standard base-pairing at the 3rd anti-codon position. Lineage: Eukaryota; Metazoa; Arthropoda; Insecta; Hymenoptera; Pteromalidae. The record is from RNAcentral.